CUCCUGCUAUUUCUAAAGGAAAAGGAUUAAUCCACAUUUAUACUGACUUAUUUUUAUUUCUGAAAUGAAUAAAGGUCUUGGAUUUCAUCCCCAAAGUCUCCUCUCACUUUCACAUGCUCCAUGUCCAUAAUUCUGAUUCUUCUGCGUCCUGUGUUUGCCAAACAGAAUGUGAUAAACAUUCUGAAGCCGAGCUGACCUCAGUUCCAAAGCCAGUGUCUGGGACAACCAAAGGAGCCUGGGAUGCUAGUCCUGCUGACCUUCCCCAGGCUGCCAGCCAAAGGCAGUGAGUGGAGCAAGCUGUUCUUACACAAGUGGGGAAGGUAGAGGGCACUUUCCUAGCUGCCUCAAGGUCAGGAGCAGGUGGGAAAGAAGAGAAGAAAUGGGCACUACAGCAGUCUUGACAUGAAGGAGAGAUAUUGCUCAUCUUUCCCACCGAGUCUGUAGUAUUGGAUGGGCACUCAUGCCGGUAUUUAUUAGAGGCUGUUUAUGACCCUCCGGGGGUCAUCAAGAGCAGCGGGGCUCCUGUCAGACAGGGCUGGGAGACCAGGAGUCUUGCUUAACCGAAAUUGGCCAGGUAAUUGGUAGGCAAUUCGCUUCCUCAGAGGAAUGUCUCGGAGAAGCUCAAUCAUGCAUAGCCCUUCAGCAUCUUCUCUCACUUGCCUUUUUCUUGUGUGUGCAUUUCAGUUCUGGAAAAUGUUACUUGGAAAGUCCCAGUCAAGACAGGAAGCUUGGCAGAAAGAGCCUAGGUCCUGCCCUCAGGGCACUGACGUUCUCUUGUGAGGGUGGAUGCACCAGAUGCAACGGGAAGCAAAUAGGACGAGGUGCCCCACAUAACAAGCCAGAGGGGAUCUGGAUCUCAAAAGAACCAUUCACAUCAUCAUCUUUGAAAGAAGUCCCAACUUACAGUUCAAUGUUCAAUAUUUUGGACCCUGACUUGCUCAUGCAGUCUGUUAUGUAUUCCUGCUAGCUUUGUGUCAUCUGAAGAUCGGAUGAGCACAUCAUCUUUGUCCUCAUGCAAGUUACUGACAAGAAAAGGAAACAUCACAGGGCCAAGCAGGGAGGGAUCGCUGGGAUUUUCAGCUGGAACCCUCCAACCACACUGACAUCAAACAAUGAACACUUGCCCUGAGUGUGACCAUGCAAGAAGUUCUGAAACAAUGAUCACAGGCCUGGUGAUGAUACCAUGUGGAAAGUGCUCUGCCUACUUUAAUGCAUCCAAAGUGUUUCAGCUGUUAUUAUUUUGACCUUUGCUUGAAGCAGUCAAGGGCCUGAGUGUACCCAGACACCUUAUUCUGCCUGACUAUUAAUUAGAUCUUUUUAACUGAAAAUGUUCAGUGUAGAUUAUAUGCAACAUUUAAUUCCUCCUCAUCAAUUCCCAGGCAGGCAAUCAAGUCAUAUUCCACAUUUUGCUUAAUGCAACCUAGCAGGGAGUUGGUAAUUCUGGAGACUGAAGCCAGCUCCCCUCCAUCUCGCAUUUGCCUUCUUGCUGUCUCAUCCUGCCUCACUCUGGCUUUGAAUGACAGUGGAGAGAUCCAGAAUGUCUUUUCAAAAGAGAGCCAAGAGAGUCUUGCCACAGGUGGUGGUCAGGACUAAUGUGCGUUUGCAUCACUAGCCUCGCGUCCCACUCUCUUAAUUAGUUUUGUCUGUUUAUGGUUCGGUAAUUAAGCAAAUUGUUCUAAGUAACUAAAAAAUAAAAGCCAAGAAACACAUUUCCA
RNAcentral lists this long non-coding RNA (1715 nucleotides) under Monodelphis domestica (gray short-tailed opossum). RNAcentral describes it as "lncRNA (ENSMODG00000038793.1)". Lineage: Eukaryota; Metazoa; Chordata; Mammalia; Didelphimorphia; Didelphidae. The record is from RNAcentral.